Molecule: small nuclear RNA, 107 nt
Organism: Nycticebus coucang (slow loris)
Lineage: Eukaryota; Metazoa; Chordata; Mammalia; Primates; Lorisidae
Source: RefSeq, a predicted model, not a curated record
GUGCUCACUCUGGUGGCACAUAUAUUAAAAUUGGAAUGAUACAGAGAAGGUCAGCAUGGCCUCUGCCUAAGGAUGAUGUGCAAAUUUGUGAAACAUUCCAUAUCUUU